MicroRNA precursor from Gadus morhua (Atlantic cod), 59 nucleotides. Ensembl annotates it as gmo-mir-723-2. Its record names the gene gmo-mir-723-2. NCBI's taxonomy places the organism in Eukaryota, Metazoa, Chordata, Actinopteri, Gadiformes, Gadidae. The record is from Ensembl.
CGGCAGUUUUGUAUGAUGUUACUUCUGAUGAACUGAAGACAUCAGAUAAAUCUGUGCUU